UACGGAGGAUGCAAGCGUUAUCCGGAAUGAUUGGGCGUAAAGCGUCCGCAGGUGGCUGUGUAAGUCUGCUGUCAAAGAGCGAAGCUCAACUUCGUAAAGGCAGUGGAAACUACACGGCUAGAGUGCGUUCGGGGCAGAGGGAAUUCCUGGUGUAGCGGUGAAAUGCGUAGAGAUCAGGAAGAACACCGGUGGCGAAGGUGCUCUGCUAGGCCGCAACUGACACUGAGGGACGAAAGCUAGGGGAGCGAAUGGG
This 253-nucleotide ribosomal RNA is filed under the name uncultured bacterium. RNAcentral's name for it is "partial 16S ribosomal RNA". It matches the Rfam family "Bacterial small subunit ribosomal RNA", at positions 524 to 776 of the family's 1533-position model. The record is from RNAcentral.